Alosa alosa (allis shad) is the source of this 219-nucleotide long non-coding RNA. RefSeq lists it as uncharacterized. NCBI's taxonomy places the organism in Eukaryota, Metazoa, Chordata, Actinopteri, Clupeiformes, Clupeidae. The record is from RefSeq and is a predicted model, not a curated record. The transcript is spliced from 3 exons.
GUUUAUUAACGCCGGCACAAGUAACCACUUGAAUUUCUUCGCAGCUUGCUCCAGUCACAAAUGUUAUUUGGUCAGUUUAUGUGAAGCUUUAGGCAGAUGCCAUGCACUCUGAAUUUUCCCGGGUUCAGGUUUUUUCCACAUCAGCAAUGGUUUUUGGGGUGUCUGCAGACAGGAUCAGAGGGACCCCUUCCUCUUGGAUAAUGACAUCAUCCUCUAUCC